AGUGAACGCUGGCGGUAGGCCUAACACAUGCAAGUCGAACGGCAGCACAGUAAGAGCUUGCUCUUACGGGUGGCGAGUGGCGGACGGGUGAGGAAUACAUCGGAAUCUACUUUUUCGUGGGGGAUAACGUAGGGAAACUUACGCUAAUACCGCAUACGCCCUACGGGUGAAAGCAGGAGCUCUUCGGACCUUGCGCGAUUGAAUGAGCCGAUGUCGGAUUAGCUAGUUGGCGGGGUAAAGGCCCACCAAGGCGACGAUCCGUAGCUGGUCUGAGAGGAUGAUCAGCCACACUGGAACUGAGACACGGUCCAGACUCCUACGGGAGGCAGCAGUGGGGAAUAUUGGACAAUGGGCGCAAGCCUGAUCCAGCCAUGCCGCGUGGGUGAAGAAGGCCUUCGGGUUGUAAAGCCCUUUUGUUGGGAAAGAAAAGCAGCAGGUUAAUACCCCGCUGUUCUGACGUUACCCAAAGAAUAAGCACCGGCUAACUUCGUG
This 492-nucleotide ribosomal RNA is filed under the name uncultured bacterium. RNAcentral's name for it is "partial 16S ribosomal RNA". It matches the Rfam family "Bacterial small subunit ribosomal RNA", at positions 29 to 507 of the family's 1533-position model. The record is from RNAcentral.